Long non-coding RNA from Varroa destructor (honeybee mite), 1089 nucleotides. NCBI's taxonomy places the organism in Eukaryota, Metazoa, Arthropoda, Arachnida, Mesostigmata, Varroidae. The record is from RefSeq and is a predicted model, not a curated record.
GCGCUCUGCGUGGCCGCCGCUCGAUUCCUCUUUCCAUCUGUGGAAGCCGCUGUGUUAUGCUAUCCAGUGUGUUGCCGCGACUACAGCAACAGCCAUCACUGCAAGAUCACAGUUCCUCAAUCAAAGAAAAGUGCUAGCUGCCACGCAUCACAAAGUUAAGCUUCCCAGCGACCGACCGAGGCGGUCGCCCUAAACGAAACCGCAGUAUCGGCGUCACUGUUUCAACGACAGCAAGUGACCGUAUCUGUCACGUCCAUGAUUUUCGUGACAAGGGUGUUAUAGUGCCUCCAAAUUCCUGUGUCGUUAUAUGGUCGUCGUCAUCGUCAUCGUCAUCGUCGUUGUUCAUGAACGGCGAAAAAGGCAACGUGCAAUAGCAACGUAUAGGAAACAUCCCCGAAAAUGAUUGACGACGCGCCUCGCGUUUCGGCUGUGCCCCACUGGUGGCAACCUCCGCAUAUUCAAUCAAGAAAAACAACAAUAGCAUUGGAUCUUUUCGAUUAGCUCAAUUCACAAAAGCUAAUCUAGCUUUUCUCUUCCUGUGUGGGACUUAAUCCGUUCUUGUUCCGUGUCGUCAACGGACGGUGUGCUGACGGUCAUGUUCAACUUUACCACGGAAAAAUUAAGCUUCGCUAGUCAAAUUAGUGAAGCAGUAAAGUAGCGCUUCGAACUCUUGCGGGUGCUCUUGAGCCUAAGUCGUUUGUGAAGAGUUAGAGGGACUGCUUCGCUGCCUGUCUACGUGCUGUGCGCGGGUCAGCGAGAGGAACCGUUGCUACAAUAGAAUUUGUUCUAGCACCCGGAAGAGCUUUCUUCUGACUGAUCUGUGUGUUAUUGCUCGUCUGCACGCGUGUUCCUAGCCUAAUACUAGACAUUGCAACUCCUCUGCUGAAUCAAAUCUUGUUGCCCUCGAGCACGAACGACGUCGCACUCGUUACAAACUGAGGCUUAGUAAACGUAUGACCUCAUACUACGACUACUACUUGGUCUUAUUCUCUAUAUUGAGCGACAAUUGGUAGCAGUGAAAAGUGCAUUGUUGAAUUCCUCGUACCACAUAGAACAAUAGAAAAACGGAGCAAAUACACACCGGUAGAC